RNAcentral lists this ribosomal RNA (63 nucleotides) under uncultured cf. Cortinarius sp. RNAcentral describes it as "partial 18S ribosomal RNA". Lineage: Eukaryota; Fungi; Basidiomycota; Agaricomycetes; Agaricales; Cortinariaceae. The record is from RNAcentral.
AUUGAAAUAAACCUGAUGAGUUGUUGCUGGUUCUCUAAAGAGCAUUGUGCACGCUUGUCAUCU